UUCUAUUCCAAAUUGAUCAUCAUAUCAUCAUACUAUUGGCACUAUCAUUAGAUAUAAAGUUCUCAAAACUGCAGCAUGAUCCAAAUUAGCACUUUUCUUUUGAUAAAUACUAAUUCUAACCGUAAGUAAAAUCAAUAAUAACAACAAAAACAUAUGCAGAUUAAAAAUAAGAAAAAGAUACAAUAUUAUAUGUGUAAUUGUAUAGCUGAGUAAACUAAAAUCAAACAUUUCCUAGUCAUUUAUUUCAAUCACUUGCAUAUGGAAGAGUUUAAGAUACUACACUACAAGGACUCAGUUUCCUUUUCGAUUUUCAUUCCUUUCCCGCAGUUUCUCCGCUUCCAAACAGAGCAUAACAGUAAAUUGUGGUAACGUUAGAGAAAAAGAUCCAUUGCAAGUACCUGGAAAGUCGGAGAUUUACACCGGAUAAUUUAUAGCAACCGGAGCUCCGGCGACCGGC
RNAcentral lists this unclassified non-coding RNA (457 nucleotides) under Hevea brasiliensis (rubber tree). The record is from RNAcentral. Lineage: Eukaryota; Viridiplantae; Streptophyta; Magnoliopsida; Malpighiales; Euphorbiaceae.